GGGCAUCGGUUUCUCCCAGCAAAGCUUGGAGGGUUUAGCUGCGCGGAGAGCUCAGCGAGCUCUUCUGUGUCUGUUUGGGGCGUGUGGGCUCCGGGAGCGUGAGGACCGGGAAGCUAGGAGGCUCCUUCCCUUCUGGCGGCUCCCUCACUGAGACCGGGCGGUUUGGUUGCGGGGGAAGUGGAGACGAGCCACCCUUGACCUUUGACUGCAAGAACUCACCUUGAGCAGGAUAGAGGCACGUGGACGGUGACCCUCGGGAUGCAAUAAAUGCUGAGACAGAUCAGGUGUGCAAGGCACAGAGCUAGAGGCCAGAGGCCUUUCUUCUCCAACCUUCAGUCACCUCUUUUUAAAGUGAAGCCAGCAUCCUCCUCGGGGUUUACUGUGAAAAUUAAGUGAGCUGACGCGUGCUGUGUUUUGAUGUUGCUUGGCUCCUACAAACAUUGAGUGGGCCAGACACUGUUCUGAAAAAUACGCAGUCGACUUUUGAACAGCACAGGCUUGAACUGCAUGCGGCCACUAAUACUCGGACUUCCUUCUGCCUCUGCCAUCCCUAAGACAGCAAGACCCACCCCUCCUGCUCCUCAGCCUACUCGAUGUGAUGAUGAUGCAGAGAUUCAGAGAGUCUAAGCAACUUUUCUAAAUCAUCUAGCUGGAAUUCAGUAACUGAGCCAGGAUCUACCCCAGGUCUGUCUGACUCCAAAGCCUGUGUCUUCCAGCACACACUGCUGCUGCCUGGGGUAAGAGCUCAACAUUAUGCUUGGAAAAAGGAGCUUUUCUAUCUCAUUGUGGAGGGCUGGGAUGUCUCCCGUGUCCACGCUCCCUUCUUUCUUAGUAAUGGGCACGUUACUGCGUUCCCCAGCCUCUCUUGCAGCAAGGUGACCAAGUGAACACUUUCUGGCUAAUGAGAUGUACAUAGAAGUCUUGUGUAAUACUUCUGGGAAGCUUUCUGAAAGAGAGCGAAUACACUCUUCUCCCAUUUUCCUCAAAAACCUUCUAGCAGGAAUGUGGAUAUGAUGUCUGGAGCUCUAGCAACCAUAUCAGACCACAAGGAUGAAUGUACACCCCAGGAAUGGAAGAGAGGAAAGCCAGAAAAAGACUCGGUCCCUGAUGGCUGAAGAGCUACCAUACCUGCCCCUAGAUCUUCUAUUUCUGAUCAUCUUCUAUGCAAGGGGGCUUACCUUGGAGAAUGGCACCACCGUCUCAUCAGUUACUCAAGCCAUGAACCUGCUGCCAUAUUUGAGUCUUUCCCCUCCCUCGGAGCCUACAUCCGACUGCUCAGUGGUGUCUCGUGUCGUCCUUAUUUUGUCACUUGACAAGCAUUGGCUGAGUCCCUGCUGUGUGCCCUGCACUGCACUGGACAUUCAGAGUACAACACAGUCCCUAUAAUCAGGCUCUUGCAAUCCCGAGGGAUCAAGAUGCAAAGAUCGUUGAGUCCAUCAGCCCUACACCCUGCAUCUCCUGCUAUGGGAGCAGAGUGGGAAGGACACCAAGGCUUACAGAGGCUGUGCGCAAUCACGUGGCGUCAGCAGCAGAGCCCCGUGCCCAGGCACCUGGA
Long non-coding RNA from Homo sapiens (human), 1555 nucleotides. Ensembl annotates it as STX18 antisense RNA 1 (head to head). Its record names the gene STX18-AS1. Lineage: Eukaryota; Metazoa; Chordata; Mammalia; Primates; Hominidae. The record is from Ensembl.